Molecule: long non-coding RNA, 1316 nt
Organism: Glycine soja
Lineage: Eukaryota; Viridiplantae; Streptophyta; Magnoliopsida; Fabales; Fabaceae
Exons: 3
Source: RefSeq, a predicted model, not a curated record
AUUGUGUGAUGUGAAUUCAAAAAGGCUUAAAACCUUUGAACUUACAAGCACUUAAAUUACACCCACUUAUCUUAAGUGUUGGAGAUGCCACAAGGAUCAUCAAGCCUUGAUAAAGUCAGAAAAAGUUCUGAAAAUAACCAAAAGAGAAAAACUCUCACUUAUCUGAAUUUUGUGGCUAGGAAACACAUUGGGAGAUUUCAGUGUUUCUAGGGCUUAUCAACGAAUCAAUCAGUUUCAUACUUUGAAUGAGUCUGAAAAUUGGAAGAAAAUUUGGAAGAUUAAUGCUCCUCAGAAGAUUAGAGUAUUCAUCUGGCAGCUUGUGCACAAGCGGCUUACUACCAAGAAGCGUGUAGUGAGUUGGGGGAUUGGUACUCUCUCUUGUCACCGUUUCGUCACUUUGAAGAGACCAUUCUGCACGUCAUGCGUGAUUGCCCUUUGGCUAGCCAGGAUGUUCUACUUUUUCUUCGAAUCACGCAAUAGGAAGGAGAAUCCUGUCGUAAUUUGGUUGACUAGGGGACCUGGGUGUAGCAGUGAAUUGGCUUUCUUUUAUGAAAAUGGCCCAUUCAAAAUUCCUGACAACUUGUCUCUUGUGUGGAAUGACUAUGGUUGGGACAAGGAUCAACUUACCAUACAGUUGCCACACCCUACAAUCAAGUUCAGGAACUUCAACUAACAGUGUGAUACAUAGCUACAGAACAUGUUGCUUUAAAUUAAUAUAGUUUGUGACUAUUUAUACUUGUAAUCAUUUACCAUAUUAAUAGUUUUAUUAGACAGGAAAGAGAAAAAGUAUGAAACAAAUGAAGAAAUUGAUUUAGUGGCUUUGAGGAGGAAUAAUCAGAGUGACUUUGCUUAUUUUUCUAUUAAGUUGUUGGCAACUUAAUAGAAAAAUAAGGCAAAGUUAUUAUAUGACUCCCCCCUUCCCUCACCUCAAAGUCAUUGAAUUCAUGACCCUGAAAUGGCUGACAACCGAUAAGGUUGUCCAAUCUCUGCACAUCAGAAAUGGAAACACCCUUGAAAUAGAAUACAAAAUAAACCAUAACAAACACUACUCCAAAACAUUUUAAGAACAAAGAGAUGUGAUUUCAAAAUGUCUCAUACUCCAUCCAAGUGGACAAAAAGUAUUGAAAAAAUUGAACACGAGCACAAAAUUGGUUUCCUUGUUUUACUAAUAAGGUGUUUGGUAGGUAGGUUCUUGUUUCCUAGGAAUCUUAAGUUGAUGUUAGAUUCUUAUGUUUGGUAUUAACUUUUUUUAAAACUAGCAUUCACAUAAAUGGUUUUUUUAAGUAUGUGAUAACUAUUAAUUAUGAGUAUAUUUU